RNAcentral lists this ribosomal RNA (435 nucleotides) under uncultured bacterium. Its description in RNAcentral is "partial 16S ribosomal RNA". It matches the Rfam family "Bacterial small subunit ribosomal RNA", at positions 29 to 507 of the family's 1533-position model. The record is from RNAcentral.
AGCGAACGCUGGCGGCAGGCUUAACACAUGCAAGUCGAGCGGGCAUCUUCGGAUGUCAGCGGCAGACGGGUGAGUAACACGUGGGAACGUACCCUUCGGUUCGGAACAACUCUGGGAAACUGGAGCUAAUACCGGAUACGCCCUUAUGGGGAAAGGUUUACUGCCGAAGGAUCGGCCCGCGUCUGAUUAGCUAGUUGGUGGGGUAACGGCCUAUCAAGGCGACGAUCAGUAGCUGGUCUGAGAGGAUGAUCAGCCACACUGGGACUGAGACACGGCCCAGACUCCUACGGGAGGCAGCAGUGGGGAAUAUUGGACAAUGGGCGCAAGCCUGAUCCAGCCAUGCCGCGUGAGUGAUGAAGGCCUUAGGGUUGUAAAGCUCUUUUGUCCGGGACGAUAAUGACGGUACCGGAAGAAUAAGCCCCGGCUAACUUCGUG